UUAGGCACUCCAGCACCCCCAUCCAGCUGUGUGUGCUGUCCUGGCCAUUCCUGGAAUGCACAUCUGGAUUGGGAAGGUGAUUUUGGAGCUGGUUGGGUUGGGCAGUUCUUUGUGUCUAAGAGCGAUUUAAAUAAAUUUAAAUAAAUUUAAAUCGAUUUAAAUCCAUUUAAAUCAGUUUUUAGCCACUCCAGCUGUGUGUGCAUUGUCCUGUCCAUUCCUGGAAUGCACAUCUGGAUUGGGAAGCUCAUUUUGGAGCUGGUUGGGCUGGGCAGUUCUUUGUGUUUUAGAGAGAUUUAAAUCAAUUUAAAUCCAUUUAAAUCCAUUUAAAUAAAUUAAAAUCCAUUUAAAUCAAUUUUUAGCCACUCCAGCUGUGUGUACAUUGUCCUGUCCAUUCCUGCAGUGCACAUCUGGAUUGGGAAGGUGAUUUUGGAGCUGCUCCAUGUGGGUUGGGCAGUUCUUUGUGUCUAAGAGCGAUUUAAAUAAAUUUAAAUCCAUUUAAAUUGAUUUAAAUCAGUUUUUAGCCAGUCCAGCUGUGUGUGCAUUGUUCUGUGCAUUCCUGGAGUGCACAUCUGGAUUGGGAAGGUGAUUUUGGAGCUGCUUGGUGUAAUUCGUUUUUUGUGUUUUGGAAGGAUUUAAAUAGAUUUAAAUCAAUUUAAAUCAAUUUUUAAAUCUAUUUAAAUCAAAUUUUAGCCACUCCAGCUGUGUGUGCUGUCCUGCCCAUUCCUGGAAUGCACAUCUGGAUUGGGAAGCUGAUUUUGGGCUGGAAUUCUCAGGCUUUUUGGGUUUUUUUGGCAGAUUUUUGGCAGAAAUUUGGGUUUUUUGCAGAUUUUUGGCAGCCAAUCCCUCCCUCUGGAUUUUGGAUUUUUCCCCUGCUGGGAUUUCCAGAAAAUUCCACAAAAAAACCCAAAAAAAAAAGGGAACAUUUCCAGUGGCUCUUUCCAGAACAGAGUUACAUUUUUUUUUNGGAUUUUGGGGAAAUUUUCCUUGGAUUUUAGUGCAAUUUUCCCUGGAUUUUAGUGGAAUUUUUUGUGGAAUUUUAGUGGAAUUUCCCCUGGAUUUUAGUGGAAUUUUCCUUGGAUUUGGGGGAAUUUUUUCUGGAAUUUUUGUGGAAUUUUCCCUGGAUUUUGGUGGAAUUUUCCGUGGAUUUUGGGGGAAUUUUUUGUGGAAUUUUUGUGGAAUUUUCCCUGGAUUUUAGUGGAAUUUCCCCUGGAUUUUGGUGGAAUUUUCCCUGAAUUUUAGGGUAUUUUCCAUAGAUUUUAGUGGAAUUUUCCUUGGUUUUGGUGGAAUUUUCCUUGGAUUUUAGUGGAAUUUUUUGUGGAAUUUUAGCGGAAUUUUCCUUGGAUUUUAGGGAAUUUUCCCUGGAUUUUAGUGGAAUUUUCCUUGGUUUUGGUGGAAUUUUCCUUGGAUUUUGGGGGGAUUUUCUGUGGAAUUUUUAGUGGAAUUUUAGUGGAAUUUUCCCUGGAUUUUAGGGAAUUUUCCUUGGUUUUUAGUGGAAUUUUCCCUGGUUUUGGUGGAAUUUCUCCUGGAUUUUAGGGAAUUUUCCCUGGAUUUUAGUGGAAUUUUUUGUGGAAUUUUAGUGGAAUUUCCCCUGGAUUUUAGGGAAUUUUCCGUGGAUUUUGGGGGAAUUUUUUGUGGAAUUUUUGUGGAAUUUUCCCUGGAUUUUAGGGAAUUUUAUCUGGAUUUUAGUGGAAUUUUUUGUGGAAUUUUUUGUGGAAUUUCCCCUGGAUUUUAGGGAAUUUUCCCUGGAUUUUGGGGGAAUUUUCCUUGGAUUUUAGUGCAAUUUUCCCUGGAUUUUGGGGGAAUUUUUUGUGGAAUUUUUGUGGAAUUUCCCCUGGAUUGUAGGGAAUUUUCCCUGGAUUUUGGUGGAAUUUUUCCUGGUUUUUGUGGAAUUUUCCCUGGAUUUUAGUGGAAUUUUUUGUGGAAUUUUAGUGGAAUUUUCCCUGGAUUUUGGUGGAAUUUUCCCUGGAUUUUAGGGAAUUUUCCCUGGAUUUUGGGGGAAUUUUUUGUGGAAUUUUAGUGGAAUUUUCCCUGGAUUUUGGGGGAAUUUUCCUUGGAUUUUAGUGCAAUUUUCCCUGGAUUUUAGUGGAAUUUUUUGUGGAAUUUUUGUGGAAUUUCCCCUGGAUUUUAGGGAAUUUUCCCUGGAUUUUAGUGGAAUUUUUUGUGGAAUUUUCCCUGGAUUUUAGGGGAGGUUUUCCCUGACUGCAAUUCCAGAAAAACUCCAAAUUUUCCCAGUUUUUACCCCAAAUUUUGCAGUGGAACUGUUGAUUUUGGGGUCAUUUUUUAGAGGAUUUUCCCCAUAAAAAAUCCCAGAAAAAUUCUCUUUAUUCCCCCACAACUCUUUAAAAUUUCCCUGCUUUUCCCCACAUGGAAAAUUCCAUUUUUUUCCCAAUUUUUACCCCAAAUUUUACAAUGAAAAUGUUGAUUUUGGGGUUAUUUUUAAGAGGAUUUUCCCCAUAAAAAAUUCCCAAAAAUUCCCUUUUCCUUCCUCAUCCUCGGAGCUGCCGUUGUUUAUUGUCAAUAUUGCACUCAUCCCAUGGAAAAUUCAAAUUUUUCCCCAAAUUUUCUUCUUUUUUCUGCCAUUUUUGCAGGCUCGAAAUUCCCUUUAAAAGCCACAAAACCCAGGAUUUUUCUUUGAUUUUUCCAUUUUUUAUAUCCUGAUAUUGAAAAAUUUAAAAAACCCCAUUUUUGUGUGUUUUUUAAGUGACAGGUGGGUGGAAUAAUUUUAUUUUUGGGUGUUGUUUUCUUGCUGAAAAAGGGGAAAAAUGGGAGAAAAAAAUGAUAAAAAAUUCAAUUUUUAGUUGAAUUUUUUCUCUUUUUAUGUUGCCUCCUGUCAGAGGCAAAAAAAAUGAAAAUAAUUCAAAAUUGCUCUUAAAAUGUGCAAUAUUCCCAUUUUUAUUUUAAUUUUAUUUUGAUUUUUUAAAACGCAAAAACAAAUCAGGAAUAUCUGGAAUUAUUUUUUAAUUUUGUUUUUAAUAUUUGGAGAAAUUUCUGAGAAAUUUCCAUUUGUAAAUAAACAGCACUUUUUGGGUCA
Zonotrichia albicollis (white-throated sparrow) is the source of this 3031-nucleotide long non-coding RNA. The record is from Ensembl. Lineage: Eukaryota; Metazoa; Chordata; Aves; Passeriformes; Passerellidae.